Molecule: transfer RNA, 71 nt
Filed under: Thermobaculum terrenum ATCC BAA-798
Lineage: Bacteria; Bacillati; Chloroflexota; Chloroflexia; Thermobaculales (SeqCode); Thermobaculaceae (SeqCode)
Also listed under: 1 other name
Description: tRNA-Gly (CCC) (tRNA-Gly-CCC-1-1)
Rfam family: tRNA
About the family: Transfer RNA (tRNA) molecules are approximately 80 nucleotides in length. Their secondary structure includes four short double-helical elements and three loops (D, anti-codon, and T loops).
Source: Rfam by way of RNAcentral
GCGGGCAUGGUGAAGAGGUAUCACAGGUGCUUCCCAAGCACCAGGCACGGGUUCGAUUCCCGUUGCCCGCU